Trichonephila clavipes is the source of this 95-nucleotide non-coding RNA. NCBI's taxonomy places the organism in Eukaryota, Metazoa, Arthropoda, Arachnida, Araneae, Nephilidae. The record is from the annotation of a GenBank genome assembly.
GUGCCAGUAGCAUAAUGCAUAGUGUGUGUGUGUGUGUGUGUGUGUGCGUUGGACUUCUAAUCCAAAGGUCGUUGGUUCGAAUCCCACCUGGAAUG